UGCAGUCGACGAUGAUGCCCAGCUUGCUGGGCGGAUUAGUGGCGAACGGGUGAGUAAUACGUGAGUAACCUGCCCUUGACUCUGGGAUAAGCCUGGGAAACUGGGUCUAAUACUGGAUACUACCUCUUACCGCAUGGUGGGUGGUGGAAAGGGUUUUACUGGUUUUGGAUGGGCUCACGGCCUAUCAGCUUGUUGGUGGGGUAAUGGCUCACCAAGGCGACGACGGGUAGCCGGCCUGAGAGGGUGACCGGCCACACUGGGACUGAGACACGGCCCAGACUCCUACGGGAGGCAGCAGUGGGGAAUAUUGCACAAUGGGCGGAAGCCUGAUGCAGCGACGCCGCGUGAGGGAUGACGGCCUUCGGGUUGUAAACCUCUUUCAGUAGGGAAGAAGCGAGAGUGACGGUACCUGCAGAAGAAGCGCCGGCUAACUACGUGCCAGCAGCCGCGGUAAUACGUAGGGCGCAAGCGUUGUCCGGAAUUAUUGGGCGUAAAGAGCUCGUAGGCGGUUUGUCGCGUCUGCUGUGAAAGCCCGGGGCUCAACCCCGGGUCUGCAGUGGGUACGGGCAGACUAGAGUGCAGUAGGGGAGACUGGAAUUCCUGGUGUAGCGGUGAAAUGCGCAGAUAUCAGGAGGAACACCGAUGGCGAAGGCAGGUCUCUGGGCUGUUACUGACGCUGAGGAGCGAAAGCAUGGGGAGCGAACAGGAUUAGAUACCCUGGUAGUCCAUGCCGUAAACGUUGGGCACUAGGUGUGGGGGACAUUCCACGUUUUCCGCGCCGUAGCUAACGCAUUAAGUGCCCCGCCUGGGGAGUACGGCCGCAAGGCUAAAACUCAAAGGAAUUGAC
Molecule: ribosomal RNA, 847 nt
Filed under: Kocuria sp.
Lineage: Bacteria; Bacillati; Actinomycetota; Actinomycetes; Micrococcales; Micrococcaceae
Description: bacterial SSU rRNA
Rfam family: Bacterial small subunit ribosomal RNA
Source: RNAcentral